CGGUCAGAAGCAAUGGUCAGAAGCCUAUACUGUCUAUGUCAGAAGCCAAACUCACUAGAUUUUGUGGCAGACGAGGAGGGACAAGGCAGAAGAUACCAGAUACAAGCCGUGUGCCACAGCCGCUGAUGUGCAGAGAACAGUGAUGCUACCGAGCACCUCCUGCUUUAUUAUCCAAGGUGACCUGAUGAAGCCAAGGACUUGGAUGCUAUCCACUGAAGGACAAGUGGUGAUGGGACCAGACGACAGCUUCAUCAAUGGGAUAGCAGCUGUUUUUGCAAGCUAUUACAACUUUAAUCUGUAGUAUCCUGACGA
Perca fluviatilis (European perch) is the source of this 312-nucleotide long non-coding RNA. RefSeq lists it as uncharacterized. NCBI's taxonomy places the organism in Eukaryota, Metazoa, Chordata, Actinopteri, Perciformes, Percidae. The record is from RefSeq and is a predicted model, not a curated record. The transcript is spliced from 3 exons.